UUUAACGAGGAUCUAUUGGAGGGCAAGUCUGGUGCCAGCAGCCGCGGUAACUCCAGCUCCAAUAGCGUAUAUUAAAGUUGUUGCGGUUAAAAAGCUCGUAGUUGGAUUUCUGUCUUCGGCCGGGCGGUGCCGCCUGAUAAUCAAGGGCGCGCACUGCUUUGGGAGCGUUGGUGUCAAAGCCGCGCUCUUUUAACGGUCGGACAAUACCACCGGAGUGGUGACGGGUCGGCGGGGUUGGCUUUUAUCGGCCUUCACUGUCGGCUCCCACCCGUAAUCGUCCGAGGUGCUCUUAACCGAGUGUCUCGGGCGGCCGGUAACGUUUACUUUGAACAAAUUAGAGUGCUCAAAGCAGGUGCUUGCUCGCCUGAAUAUCACAGCAUGGAAUGAUGGAAUAGGACCUCGGUCUUAUUUUGUUGGUUUUCUCUAGACCCGAGGUAA
RNAcentral lists this ribosomal RNA (438 nucleotides) under Evadne nordmanni. RNAcentral describes it as "SSU rRNA". It matches the Rfam family "Eukaryotic small subunit ribosomal RNA", at positions 533 to 868 of the family's 1831-position model. Lineage: Eukaryota; Metazoa; Arthropoda; Branchiopoda; Diplostraca; Podonidae. The record is from RNAcentral.